Molecule: ribosomal RNA, 429 nt
Filed under: Bacteroidota bacterium
Lineage: Bacteria; Pseudomonadati; Bacteroidota
Description: Bacteroidetes bacterium partial 16S ribosomal RNA
Rfam family: Bacterial small subunit ribosomal RNA
Source: RNAcentral
UAGGGAAUCUUCGGCAAUGGGGGGAACCCUGACCGAGCAACGCCGCGUGAGUGAAGAAGGUUUUCGGAUCGUAAAGCUCUGUUGUUAAGGAAGAACGAGUGUGAGAAUGGAAAGUUCAUACUGUGACGGUACUUAACCAGAAAGGGACGGCUAACUACGUGCCAGCAGCCGCGGUAAUACGUAGGUCCCGAGCGUUGUCCGGAUUUAUUGGGCGUAAAGCGAGCGCAGGCGGUUAGAUAAGUCUGAAGUUAAAGGCAGUGGCUCAACCAUUGUAGGCUUUGGAAACUGUUUAACUUGGGUGCAGAAGGGGAGAGUGGAAUUCCAUGUGUAGCGGUGAAAUGCGUAGAUAUAUGGAGGAACACCGGUGGCGAAAGCGGCUCUCUGGUCUGUAACUGACGCUGAGGCUCGAAAGCGUGGGGAGCGAACAGG